AUACGAACCGUACGAACGUUAUUCGGAAUCACUGGGCUUAAAGCGUGCGUAGGCGGCUUGGAAAGUUGGGUGUGAAAUCCCUCGGCUCAACCGAGGAAUUGCGCCCAAUACUGCCAGGCUUGAGGGAGGUAGAGGUAAGCGGAACUAAUGGUGGAGCGGUGAAAUGCGUUGAUAUCAUUAGGAACACCUGUGGCGAAAGCAGCUUACUGGGCCUCUUCUGACGCUGAGGCACGCACGCUAGGGGAGCGAACGGGAUUAGAUACCCCGGUAGUUCUAGCUGUAAACGAUGAGCACUGGAUUGAGGAGACUUCCACAUCUUCUCGGUCGUAGCGAAAGUGUUAAGUGCUCCGCCUGGGGAGUAUGGUCGCAAGGCUGAA
This 377-nucleotide ribosomal RNA is filed under the name uncultured bacterium. Its description in RNAcentral is "bacterial SSU rRNA". It matches the Rfam family "Bacterial small subunit ribosomal RNA", at positions 523 to 898 of the family's 1533-position model. The record is from RNAcentral.